GUUGACUUCGUCUAGCGGUCAGGACGACACCAUUUCACGGUGUAAACUUGGGUUCGAGCCCCUAGGAAACA
Molecule: transfer RNA, 71 nt
Filed under: Candidatus Tremblayella princeps
Lineage: Bacteria; Pseudomonadati; Pseudomonadota; Betaproteobacteria
Description: Candidatus Tremblaya princeps tRNA-Glu(TTC)
Rfam family: tRNA
About the family: Transfer RNA (tRNA) molecules are approximately 80 nucleotides in length. Their secondary structure includes four short double-helical elements and three loops (D, anti-codon, and T loops). Further hydrogen bonds mediate the characteristic L-shaped molecular structure. tRNAs have two regions of fundamental functional importance: the anti-codon, which is responsible for specific mRNA codon recognition, and the 3' end, to which the tRNAs corresponding amino acid is attached (by aminoacyl-tRNA synthetases). tRNAs cope with the degeneracy of the genetic code in two manners: having more than one tRNA (with a specific anti-codon) for a particular amino acid; and 'wobble' base-pairing, i.e. permitting non-standard base-pairing at the 3rd anti-codon position.
Source: RNAcentral